UCCUGACUGACCGAUAGUGAACCAGUACCGUGAGGGAAAGGCGAAAAGAACCCCGGCGAGGGGAGUGAAAAAGAACCUGAAACCGUGUACGUACAAGCAGUGGGAGCACGCUUAGGCGUGUGACUGCGUACCUUUUGUAUAAUGGGUCAGCGACUUAUAUUCUGUAGCAAGGUUAACCGAAUAGGGGAGCCGAAGGGAAACCGAGUCUUAACUGGGCGUUAAGUUGCAGGGUAUAGACCCGAAACCCGGUGAUCUAGCCAUGGGCAGGUUGAAGGUUGGGUAACACUAACUGGAGGACCGAACCGACUAAUGUUGAAAAAUUAGCGGAUGACUUGUGGCUGGGGGUGAAAGGCCAAUCAAACCGGGAGAUAGCUGGUUCUCCCCGAAAGCUAUUUAGGUAGCGCCUCGUGAAUUCAUCUCCGGGGGUAGAGCAC
This 434-nucleotide ribosomal RNA is filed under the name Escherichia coli. Its description in RNAcentral is "partial 23S ribosomal RNA". It matches the Rfam family "Bacterial large subunit ribosomal RNA", at positions 474 to 910 of the family's 2925-position model. Lineage: Bacteria; Pseudomonadati; Pseudomonadota; Gammaproteobacteria; Enterobacterales; Enterobacteriaceae. The record is from RNAcentral. RNAcentral also lists the same sequence under 1 other name.